AGUAGUAGUUCCUUCAGCAUCUUUCCGUCUCACAAAAAUGGCCAAGAAGACGAAGUCUAAGGUGGACACGAUCAACGCCAAGCUCCAGCUGGUGAUGAAGUCCGGUAAGUACGUGCUCGGCACGCAGCAGGCGCUGACGACCCUCCGCCAGGGCCGCAGCAAGCUGAUUGUGAUCUCCAACAACUGCCCGCCGAUCCGCCGCGCCGAGGUGGAGUACUACUGCACCCUCAGCAAGACCCCCAUCCACCACUACUCUGGCAACAACCUGGACCUCGGUACGGCGUGCGGCAAGCACUUCCGCACGUGCGUCCUGUCCGUGACAAAUGUUGGGGACUCUGACAUCGCUGCUUAAAGGAAGGAUAAUGUGAACGGACAGCUUCUCUGUUCUUUUUCGUUUUAAUUUGCGAUUGUUUCCCGAAGAAGAAAAGCAACAAUACCGAAAAGGGACGGAAAAAUGUGCGCUUGACAGAAUGGCAUGUGCGAAGUUGGCGGCAGCGCACGUGCACACCUGAUGAUGGCAGCAGCGGCGACAGUAUGCACGCAUGCGCACACCUGGCAACGCCAGGGACGGAAAGGGAAGAGGAUAGAGAGGGUCAAGUGUCGGAGGAGGACAAGCACAGAAGGGGAGGGGCGAGGUCGUGACGGCGCGCGUGCUUGUUUUGCUCCGACCUCUCUCUCCCUGUGUGUUCCCACCCUCUCUCUUGAUGCUUAUCUGCGCGUGUUUUGCAUAGGCACACACGCGACCCGCGCUGUUGCUGUCCGCUGCCGUCAUGCCACCUCCCGCAUUUCCUCUCCUCUGCACCCGUAGUGCUCGACAAUCGCAGUAAC
This 828-nucleotide unclassified non-coding RNA is filed under the name Leishmania donovani. RNAcentral's name for it is "gene:LdHU3.35.0330(CDS-product:60S_ribosomal_prot ein_L30)". The record is from RNAcentral. Lineage: Eukaryota; Euglenozoa; Kinetoplastea; Trypanosomatida; Trypanosomatidae.